GGAAUAUUGGACAAUGGGCGCAAGCCUGAUCCAGCCAUGCCGCGUGAAGGAUGAAGGCCCUAUGGGUCGUAAACUUCUUUUAUACGGGAAAAAACCCCUCGAUGCGUUGAGGGUUGAUGGUACUGUAAGAAUAAGGGUCGGCUAACUUCGUGCCAGCAGCCGCGGUAAUACGAAGGACCCGAGCGUUAUCCGGAUUUAUUGGGUUUAAAGGGUGCGUAGGCGGAUUAAUAAGUCAGUGGUGAAAGCCCAUCGCUUAACGAUGGAAUUGCCAUUGAUACUGUUAGUCUUGAGUAUGGUUGAGGUGGGCGGAAUGUGUCAUGUAGCGGUGAAAUGCUUAGACAUGACACAGAACACCAAUUGCGAAGGCAGCUCGCUAAACCAUAACUGACGCUGAGGCACGAAAGCGUGGGGAGCAAAC
RNAcentral lists this ribosomal RNA (418 nucleotides) under uncultured bacterium. Its description in RNAcentral is "bacterial SSU rRNA". It matches the Rfam family "Bacterial small subunit ribosomal RNA", at positions 358 to 773 of the family's 1533-position model. The record is from RNAcentral.